Molecule: non-coding RNA, 46 nt
Organism: Schistosoma mansoni
Lineage: Eukaryota; Metazoa; Platyhelminthes; Trematoda; Strigeidida; Schistosomatidae
Source: Rfam
GAACUGCUGAGGAGUCCCAAAAUAGGACGAAACAGCCGUCCCGUGC